Molecule: transfer RNA, 75 nt
Filed under: Candidatus Woesearchaeota archaeon
Lineage: Archaea; Nanobdellati; Candidatus Woesearchaeota
Description: tRNA-Met
Rfam family: tRNA
About the family: Transfer RNA (tRNA) molecules are approximately 80 nucleotides in length. Their secondary structure includes four short double-helical elements and three loops (D, anti-codon, and T loops).
Source: RNAcentral
GUCGGUGUAGUUUAGCCUGGUUAGAGCGCCACGCUCAUAACGUGGAAGUCGAGGGUUCAAAUCCCUCCACCGACA